Molecule: long non-coding RNA, 934 nt
Organism: Gavialis gangeticus (Gharial)
Lineage: Eukaryota; Metazoa; Chordata; Crocodylia; Gavialidae
Exons: 3
Source: RefSeq, a predicted model, not a curated record
CGGCCCUGGUGCGGGCGGAGCUCGCUGCCGAGCGGCCAUUUGCGAACGCGGAGCCGCGGCCGCUCCGGCAGCCUCGCCCCAGCCUGGGGAGCCGAUGCCCUCCUGGGAGCUCCCUGUGGGAGGUGCCGGCUCUGGGGCGCUCGAGGAGCACGCCCCAUUAAACUUUCCAACACGCCGGAAACAUGUGGUGUACACUCGUCAGCCUGGACAGACUGAAUCUCAAUUGCACACACAACUAUUUGGAGAACAAAAAGUUUCAAAAUGACUCUUUGCAAGUGUUGGCUGAACCUGACGCAUUCAUUCAAUCAGAGAACAGAGGUGCUACCAUGUGACUCGCCCAACCAAUCAUAACCAGUGAGCACAUUAUGAACUUGAAGAACAGUGAGAACUGUGGUUUGCUGUCGCAUGCUGCACUGUGGGUGCUCCUCUCUGCCCCUCAGUUACCUGGAGCACUGCGGUGAGCUUGCUCGAAGUGUCCCUUUCUCAUCACCAAUUGCUGUGCCCCAGCAGGUGAGCAAAACCCAUGAAAGCAGAGCUGGCUGGCAAAUGAGUCAUGGUAAUGUGGCACUUUUGUUGAAAUGUUGACGUGUUUCAAACUUCUCCACCUAGUGUCACAGCAGAGCAACAAAGAAAAGUCCUGAUACUGUGAUGUGAUCCAUAUAGGCAGACCUCAGCAGAGAUCCACUGAAGUCAGCCAAAAUCCACGUGGAUAUGAGAGGCUUUCCAUUGCACAGAACUCACUGUAGGAUAGAAGCCAAAGUUAAUCCUGUUUGCCUGCUGCAUGUAUAACUUUGUAUCACUCGGCAGGGAAAUAAAACCGUUAAAGCACUGAGUUGUUUGGAAUUUCUCCUCUGUGUUUGUUUUUAAAUAAAAUGUGGCCUGUUGGAUGAGAUUUGACACAUUCAUGGAAAAGAUAAAACUUUUGGCUAAUUGA